UGGGGAAUAUUGCACAAUGGGCGCAAGCCUGAUGCAGCCAUGCCGCGUGUAUGAAGAAGGCCUUCGGGUUGUAAAGUACUUUCAGCGAGGAGGAAGGCGGUAAGGUUAAUAACCUUAUCGAUUGACGUUACUCGCAGAGGAAGCACCGGCUAACUCCGUGCCAGCAGCCGCGGUAAUACGGAGGGUGCAAGCGUUAAUCGGAAUUACUGGGCGUAAAGCGCACGCAGGCGGUCUGUCAAGUCGGAUGUGAAAUCCCCGGGCUCAACCUGGGAACUGCAUUCGAAACUGGCAGGCUAGAGUCUUGUAGAGGGGGGUAGAAUUCCAGGUGUAGCGGUGAAAUGCGUAGAGAUCUGGAGGAAUACCGGUGGCGAAGGCGGCCCCCUGGACAAAGACUGACGCUCAGGUGCGAAAGCGUGGGGAGCAAACA
Molecule: ribosomal RNA, 427 nt
Filed under: uncultured bacterium
Lineage: Bacteria
Description: partial 16S ribosomal RNA
Rfam family: Bacterial small subunit ribosomal RNA
Source: RNAcentral